CUCUUUAUCAAGCAAGAGCUUUCAAAUUUCCCUUUACCUUGCGUACUAUAGGUGAGUGAAACACGCUACCAUUACCAUUACUAAGCAGUACUGACUCAUCGUAACUGUUUAAUCUUUGAUGUUUUGCUUUCACAAUUAACAUUAAUCUGUGGUGUGUCUUCUGAUUGUUUUCUGAAUACUUGUAUAUUAUUCUUUGUUUUGCACUAUUACCCGUAUUGCCUGGGUCCAGAUGGGCCCGCAUUAUCUUGUAAAUCAAUAUUAAUAAUUGCAGGCACAAUGCUAAGGUGAUUUUGCUGUGAUGUUUGGUAAAGUAUAGCUGGUUAGUAAUGUUCCAGCUUCAAGCAAAGGUAGGAUGCCUUAAGAGUGAUUGUGCUCUGAAGACAGUUGAUUCAACCUCAUGUGUGUCUUUUCUUAUGCAUUGUUGCAGCUACGAGAUGGCACUGGGAAAGAAGGAGAAAAAUGUGAUGUGCGAAAAAACAUAUUUCUUCACUUUUGCCUGACAUUCGACAUGGAACCCAAUAUAUUUUUAAUAUUUUUUCAUAACCUUCUCGCUUAAGUUGCUUGAUAAUCUGCAGUGAAUUUUUUCCGAGAAAUGUUGGUGUAAUCUGUGGUGUGUCUUUUAUAUUUGAACUUUUCAAGGUUGCCAUGUUCAAUAACUAGACUUUCUUUAAGUGAUUCACUUAAAGGAAACCUUUUAUCUAGUGCAGAUGCACAAAUAAUCGAGUAGAAGGCCGGCACCAUAGCUCAGCAUGUAGAGUAAUAGUGCCUUAUGUGUUGUAUGGAGCAUAGCUUCCCACAGAAACCACUAGCGGUAAUUCCAGCACUAGUGCGUAUUGGAGCUGCAAGUAGGGUGGCUGAGUGGGCAUCGCAGUCAUCAUUGCUGAUGAAUUUGCCUAAACAUCAUCCUCCUCGCUUCAAGGCAGAUAUGUACAUAGAUUCCCUUGCAUUCAGAUUCAGUCACCUCUAGGUAUUUUUAUAGGAAACUUACUGUAUGGAGGUUGUGAAUUCGGCUCGUGUGAGCAAGCUUUUCUAAUUUCAUGUCUAUAUAUUAUUCCUACGUUAAAAAACACUUAAUUUUCCUCUUGGUUUCAUUAUCUGUUCGUUUAAUGGGGAUUGCUUCUGAGAAAACGAAUGCCCCGAUUCUUCUCACUCGCAGUUGAAGUUUGAUCUCUUGCUUUGUUUUCAGGGGGAGCCAUCAAAGUUCAAUGGGGGCCUGUACCCUCCCAUCUGGUCCACAAGACACUGCCUUCUACAAAGAGCCGCAAAAGCAGUGUGCCCUUGUUCUGUCCAUCUCGCAUGUUCCGCAAAACCAGGAUGUCCAUAACCCUGAUCUGAAAUAACCAUGGUCAGCUGAUGAUCCUGUGAUUUAGCGAACUCCUCUGCAGAGAACAGGGCUCACAUUAGUGAAAGGUCAUUUUCAAGUGUGGCAAGUCUUCGAGUGGGAAACGCUGUCCACGGUACAGACCUUUACGGAACAAGCCUUCAAGCAGCGGCCACAUGCAAUGCAGCUCUGUACGAAGCAAGUCAUAAGACAAAGGAUGAUGGGCUCUAUGGGGAUCUUGCCCACCAGAUGUAUGACGUGACAGCUCCCAGUUUGAGCACACCACUUGAGCUGCAAGGCACAACGGUCGAGAGAAACAGCAACAAGGAUGCAGUUACGAGGCCACCAGACAGCUCCAUGCCUUGCACAGACCAGCAACAGCCGCGAAAUAGAUACGACAAGCGGCGGUGGCGCCGUGAUGCGUGCCCACUCUCGGCUACCAGCAAGUUCCGUUUAACGCCACACUUUUCGAAGCACUAUAACCAGAGAUGUUUCAGCUGCACCGUCUGCGCGAAAGCAUUUUCCAAAAGCGUUCACCUGAUCGACCACAUGCGCACGCACACGGGAGAGAGACCGUUCAGGUGCAACAUCUGCCUGCGUCAGUUUACGCAGAAGUCUGCGAUGGUGCGUCACAGGUUGCAGGUGCACAAGCAGGGCAAGGACGACCAAGGCGGAGCAUCACUUCAUGUGCUUCACUUGUAGCAGCACCCAAGAUUUUUGGCAGUUUCUGCAAGAGAGAAUCUCUCGUUGAAGAGAGCUCUCAAAAGUGUGACUGUAAAGUACAGUUCUUCUUGUUGGUGUGAGUGAUACUGCAUAGCUCCGCAAUCUCUCUGGCAAGUUGGUGUCUACAUUGUUGCCAGUUUUGUGAGCCUUGCGAAACGCUUUAAUAACCAGAAAGAGAUUCUCCAGACGUAUUUUGCUGUGGUCGCAUCAGUGAUGCCCCAGCCCCUUCCCACCUUCUCCAAGUUCUACUACCCAAAGAACUUCACAAGUUCAUUCACUUACCUGGACAGAAAUAAUAUAUCACCUGUGUGCUUUUGUUUCAGAUUACAUUAUGUCUUUUUACUUGCUAUACUGUGAACCUGUGGCCUACAAAAUUAUGCUCUCAACUGUACAUUAACUAUUGUGAGAUCGAAACCUCAUUUUGAGCGAAACUAAGAGGCCACUAUGAUGUAUAGAGGCUGUUGCCAGAUGCCAGGCAUCAACAGUGUACGUGAAUUUGUAAAGUUUGCAGCCACUAGUCAGUUGUGUUGGCAGGGUACUGUAGAUUUUCAGUGGUGCCACCUAUUUGACGUUCCACUUAACACACUUGCAAUUUGUUUCAAGUCACUAGGCUAGUCUUGUUAUGGGCAGCAAGUUAUUCCCAUUGAUGGCAUGUGAUUGUCAGUGUAUGAUAUCAGUGGCAGGUUAUCGUUGCAUAUUAACUGAAACUGCAUGGUAAGUUGCACCUAUACCAGCAAAAUAUCAUGCUUGUUGCACGCAUCUCUUGUUUUAUUUUGUUGCAUCAGCACUAUGGAACAUUAUUCAGAGACAAUUAAUACUUGUUUAAUUAUCAUAACCUAUGAUAACAACCAUCUAGUCCAGACAGCAAAUAGCUUACUAUUUAUGAAGCAUUUAUUUGCAGCCAUAUUAUGCUUAUGUAUUUUACAUAAUCCAUGCACUGAAAAUUGCAGAUUAAUUAUGCUAACGACCAUGUAAUGGAAAGUGGGUUUCCAUCUGGCAUAGUGAAGAAGUCUAGGUUGGCAGGUUUUUUGGAAGCUCCAAACAUUAAAAAAAAACUAAAUCUGCCAUUUUAGGCUAGCCUUUUACUUUAAGCUUAUGUCUCCUGCAGAGUUUUUUUUAUUUUUGAGGAACAAGAUGUCGCGUGGCGAGGUUCUUUUCUGAAGGACUUUCUUCUCUCCCUUACUCUGCUUUUUUAAUUUUUAAUGCUUUGGUGUCUUUGUAAAAAGAACUACAACUCUUAAAUCAUUGGAAGCAGCCACUUAUCAUGCUGCCAGUAGGUGUUCCUAUGUGAUCAAUGAAAAUCUGUAUUUCAUAGAACCCAGGAACCUGUUUUGCGUGCUGUCUCUUUCUGUAUGUACUUGUGUCGUGCCAAGUAAUUUUUUAUCAGGAGCGGCAGUGUCUCACUCAUUUAAAGUCUAGCUGCCAGGGGAUUCUUGAAAACUGGGUAUGACGUUCCCUUGUUCAGGCACACUCUGUUCAUAGUAACGAGAACUUAAUUAUGAACUAGGGGAAAUUGCAACAAAACUUUAGGGAACACUACAUGUAAGGAACAGCGCCAUCAGUAACUGUUGACGAGAGAGCAUCAUCAUGAUGUGAGAGUGCCCACACCUAGAUAUGCUUUAUUUCCUUCACAAUUACAUUUUGUGGCGUGCUCAUGUGCUGCUGAACUCUGGUGUGGGCCGGAUCCUUGUCUGCAGCUUUUGCGGCUUUUUUUUUCCCAUCGCCCCCAUGUUUCUCGUGGAGAAAUGAAAAUUCCUUUGAUUGAUCCACUAGGCAAAAGCAUUUCAAUUGUCCAUGUUCCAAGCAUUCUUUCGUUACUGACAUCCCCAUGUUCUUACCGUUUGACUGAACGAUAUUAGGCCUGUUUUGGCUGUGUUGAUUGAGAUACCAGUUAGAGAUAAUAAAAAGGCCCGGAAAGACAAAAUUAACAAGGAAAGGAAAAAGUUUAUGGUAGUCCAAAUUUGUUAGUUGUGCUUUACUAAAACUGUGCAUGGUGCACAAGCACAAUGUCUACUCAUCUGCAACUGAACAUAACCAUAGCCUGUCAUCCAGCCUUGCAUUUUUUAUUUUUUUUUUGCAUGCAGCUCCUUGUACUAAUCCACUAUUCUGAUUUGGACAAGUCCAUGGUUCCUAUAAGUUUGAGCAUAUGUGCAUUUCUUCUGUUAGAGCUGCAUGAAACACUGUGAUAAACCACAUCAAGGGAAGAUACGACUGCCUUGCUGAAGUUCACAUAACGUAUGUUAUAUACCAAAAACACGUAGCUGGUACGUAUUAAUCGAUGCAGUAAUGUAGCAAUGAGCACUCGCACAUUGGUGUAUUCGGUGUAGCUUGGCGAAUGUUAAAGGCACACUAAAGAGAAACAAUGAAUCAGUU
This is a long non-coding RNA of Rhipicephalus sanguineus (brown dog tick), 4417 nucleotides long. RefSeq lists it as uncharacterized. The transcript has 3 exons. Lineage: Eukaryota; Metazoa; Arthropoda; Arachnida; Ixodida; Ixodidae. The record is from RefSeq and is a predicted model, not a curated record.